RNAcentral lists this ribosomal RNA (520 nucleotides) under uncultured Glomus. RNAcentral's name for it is "SSU rRNA". It matches the Rfam family "Eukaryotic small subunit ribosomal RNA", at positions 569 to 1092 of the family's 1831-position model. Lineage: Eukaryota; Fungi; Glomeromycota; Glomeromycetes; Glomerales; Glomeraceae. The record is from RNAcentral.
AGCAGCCGCGGUAAUUCCAGCUCCAAUAGCGUAUAUUAAAGUUGUUGCAGUUAAAAAGCUCGUAGUUGAAUUUCGAGAUCAGUACGCUGGUCGUGCCUUCGGUAUGUACUGGUGUCACUGGUUUCUCCCUUCUGAAGAACCGUUAUGUCAUUAAGUUGGUGUGGCGGGGAAUCAGGACUGUUACUUUGAAAAAAUUAGAGUGUUUAAAGCAGGCUCGCGCUUGAAUACAUUAGCAUGGAAUAAUGAAAUAGGACGUUUGACCCUAUUUUGUUGGUUUCUAGGAUCGACGUAAUGAUUAAUAGGGAUAGUUGGGGGCAUUAGUAUUCAAUUGUCAGAGGUGAAAUUCUUGGAUUUAUUGAAGACUAACUACUGCGAAAGCAUUUGCCAAGGAUGUUUUCAUUAAUCAAGAACGAAAGUUAGGGGAUCGAAGACGAUCAGAUACCGUCGUAGUCCUAACCAUAAACUAUGCCGACUAGGGAUCGGAUGAUGUUAAUUUUUAAUGAUCAUUCGGCGCCUUAAC